GACAACAGGAGAGAGCCCAGUGACUUCACAACAAUGACACCUCUAGACUUGAAAGAAAAUCCUGGAGCUGAAGAGGAGAAGAGGGUUGGUGCCAUUGUUGGUGGUGUUCUUGGUGUUGUUGCUCUUGUUAUCCUCAUUAUUAUCGGAGUCCUGGUGAAACUUGGAAUAAUCCAGAAAACACGUGGAGCUAGAAACCAGGGACGAGUGCUGGGAGACGUGUUGUGAUGGUCGAUGGUCGGACGGCUGCUGGAGAGAGAACGACCAAAAACCUCUCUGGUUUCACCAGCUUUAACAGUUCUGCCAAAGUUUUAACUCAACAAACAGUUAAACCUCCCUUCAGGGACUAGGCCAAGUAUUUACACACCUCAAACACACCAGCAACACUGAUUUAAUCUGGUUACUUUCAUUGAUCUCCUGAGCCAGUCAACAACGAGCCCUGGACAAAAUCUACAGGAUACAGGUCAGCUGACAGGUGAAUAAAAUAGGAACAAAACCUGUGACAUCAGUGAUCAGUGAUCAAUAAUACCAGUCAAACCUCUUGCCCCUUCUCACCCAGGUAGAGCAGGGCGUUCACCAACCAGGUGGUCAGUGGUUCAAUCCCAGGCUCCUCCAGUCCAAGUGGACAAGUGACUGAACCUUAUACUGUCCCCGAUGUAUCAUCGGUUUAUAGAUACAAUAAGUACUGUAUGAAUGAGUGAACGAGUGAAUGUGAUGUGUAAAGUCAAUAUAGAAAUACAGUCCAUUUAUCUUUUUCA
Molecule: long non-coding RNA, 755 nt
Organism: Lates calcarifer (barramundi perch)
Lineage: Eukaryota; Metazoa; Chordata; Actinopteri; Centropomidae
Exons: 3
Source: RefSeq, a predicted model, not a curated record